Molecule: long non-coding RNA, 274 nt
Filed under: Eucalyptus grandis
Lineage: Eukaryota; Viridiplantae; Streptophyta; Magnoliopsida; Myrtales; Myrtaceae
Description: long non-coding RNA (EGRA_LNC001139)
Source: RNAcentral
CCGCACCUUCGUCCUGUCAUAAUGGUGACCGCGCUUGCAGUUGCAGCGAUUCGGAUAUCCUCGAAAAGCUCGAAACUUUGAUCUCCACGAAUUCCCUAAAACGCCCACCUUCUUCACUCGCUCGACACUCGCUCGACACUCGCUCUCGCUCCGGGCGGGACAGCUCGAGAAGGGCAAAGUUCGAUUCUUUUCCCACACAAGAGCUCGACGUCGGAUGGAGAAAUCCGGGUACGGCCGCGACGGCAUCUACCGGUCGCUCCGGCCGUCCCUGGCG